This 253-nucleotide ribosomal RNA is filed under the name uncultured bacterium. RNAcentral's name for it is "partial 16S ribosomal RNA". It matches the Rfam family "Bacterial small subunit ribosomal RNA", at positions 524 to 776 of the family's 1533-position model. The record is from RNAcentral.
UACGGAGGGUGCAAGCGUUAUCCGGAUUUACUGGGUUUAAAGGGUGCGUAGGUGGGUAGAUAAGUCAGCGGUGAAAUCUCCAGGCUUAACUUGGAAACUGCCAUUGAUACUAUCUGUCUUGAAUAUCCUGGAGGUGAGCGGAAUAUGUCAUGUAGCGGUGAAAUGCUUAGAUAUGACAUAGAACACCCAUUGCGAAGGCAGCUCACUACGGGAUUAUUGACACUGAGGCACGAAAGCGUGGGGAUCAAACAGG